Molecule: long non-coding RNA, 277 nt
Filed under: Sus scrofa (pig)
Lineage: Eukaryota; Metazoa; Chordata; Mammalia; Artiodactyla; Suidae
Description: lncRNA (ENSSSCG00050039402.1)
Source: RNAcentral
UAAAUUUGUGUUGUUUUUCAGCCACUAAGUUUGUGCCAGUUUGUCACAGCAGCAACAGGAUACUAACCACAAUGUGACCUCCCUAAAUUCCCAGGGCAUACGGAAGUUCCAGGGCCAGGGACCAAACCAAACCAAGCAGUGACAAUGCAGAAUCCUUAACCAGGGAACUCCUCAUUUUGAAAAUAUUGAAUAAAACACAUCUUCCUCAUUUUUACUCCUUUAAAAAAAAAAGCUAAUUUUACCACUUAUUUUCUUUCUUCCUUUUCUUUCUUUCUUU